UACGUAGGGUGCGAGCGUUAAUCGGAAUUACUGGGCGUAAAGCGUGCGCAGGCGGUUCGUUGUGUCCGAUGUGAAAGCCCCGGGCUUAACCCGGGAAUGGCAUUGGAAACUGGCGAGCUUGAGUGCGGCAGAGGGGGGUGGAAUUCCGCGUGUAGCAGUGAAAUGCGUAGAGAUGCGGAGGAACACCGAUGGCGAAGGCAGCCCCCUGGGUCGACACUGACGCUCAGGCACGAAAGCGUGGGGAGCAAACAGG
RNAcentral lists this ribosomal RNA (253 nucleotides) under uncultured bacterium. RNAcentral's name for it is "partial 16S ribosomal RNA". It matches the Rfam family "Bacterial small subunit ribosomal RNA", at positions 524 to 776 of the family's 1533-position model. The record is from RNAcentral.